UACGGGGGGGGCAAGCGUUGUUCGGAAUUACUGGGCGUAAAGGGCGCGUAGGCGGCCUUCUAAGUCGGACGUGAAAUCCCUCGGCUUAACCGAGGAACUGCGUCCGAGACUGAAAGGCUUGAAUCCGGGAGAGGGAUGUGGAAUUCCAGGUGUAGCGGUGAAAUGCGUAGAUAUCUGGAGGAACACCGGUGGCGAAGGCGGCAUUCUGGACUGUAACUGACACUGAGGAACGAAAGCCAGGGGAGCAAACGGG
RNAcentral lists this ribosomal RNA (253 nucleotides) under uncultured bacterium. RNAcentral's name for it is "partial 16S ribosomal RNA". It matches the Rfam family "Bacterial small subunit ribosomal RNA", at positions 524 to 776 of the family's 1533-position model. The record is from RNAcentral.